GACGAACGCUGGCGGCGUGCUUAACACAUGCAAGUCGAACGGAAAGGCCCUGCUUUUGUGGGGUGCUCGAGUGGCGAACGGGUGAGUAACACGUGAGUAACCUGCCCUUGUCUUUGGGAUAACUUCAGGAAACUGGGGCUAAUACCGGAUAGGAGCUCCUGCUGCAUGGUGGGGGUUGGAAAGUUUCGGCGGUUGGGGAUGGACUCGCGGCUUAUCAGCUGGUUGGUGGGGUAGUGGCUUACCAAGGCUUUGACGGGUAGCCGGCCUGGGAGGGUGACCGGCCACAUUGGUACUGAGGUACGGCGCAGACUCCUACGUGAGGCAGCGGUGGGAAAUAUUGCACAAUGGGCGGAAGCCUGUUGCAGCAGCGCCGCGUGCGGAAUGACGGCCUUCUGGUUGUAAACCGCUUUCGCCUGUGACGAAGCGUUAGUGACGGUAAUGGGUAAAGAAGCACCGGCUAACUACGUG
Molecule: ribosomal RNA, 468 nt
Filed under: uncultured bacterium
Lineage: Bacteria
Description: partial 16S ribosomal RNA
Rfam family: Bacterial small subunit ribosomal RNA
Source: RNAcentral